Molecule: non-coding RNA, 1661 nt
Organism: Amborella trichopoda
Lineage: Eukaryota; Viridiplantae; Streptophyta; Magnoliopsida; Amborellales; Amborellaceae
Source: Rfam
CAAAAGAAGAGUUUGACCAUGGCUCAAAACGAACGCUAACUAUAUGCUUAACCGAUGCAAGUCGAACAUUGUUUUCAGGGAGCUGGGCAGAAGGAAAAGACGCUCCUAGCUAACUAAAGGUAGCUUGUCUCGCCCUAGCAAUGGUUGCCAGUGUAGGCAACGAGCUUUGCCAGUGGUAGCAACAAGCAAAGAAAGCCCUCGCCAACUAUUGGAAGCCUCUACUACGCAAGCUAGUGGUAGCAACUGUAAAUUGUUUAGGACGCUUUUUUUGCAGCGCGAGCAAAGCGGUUGUUGAAGAGUGGUUUGACGUUGCAAAGCCCUCUUUAACACUUAGACAUUGCUCUUACACUGCCUUCACGGAGGUGGGAACAGUUGAGAACCAAGUGGCGAACGGGUGCGUAACGAGUGGGAAUCUGCCGAACAGUUCGGGCCAAAUCUUGAAGAAAGCUAAAAAGCCUUGUUUGAUGAGCCUGCGUAGUAUUAGGUAGUUGGUUAGGUAAAGCCUGACUAAGUCAAUGAUGCUUAGCGGGUCUUUUCGGAUGAUUAGUCACACUGGGACUGAGACACGGCCUGGACUCCCACGGGGGGCAGCAGUGGGGAAUCUUCGACAAUGAGCGAAACCUCAAUCUAUCAAUAUCGUGUCGAGGGUCUACCCAUACGUAGAUUAGGGGCCCAACUAACGCGUGAAACACUCCGCCUGGGGAGUACGGUCGUAAGACCGAAACUCAAAGGAAUUGACGGGGGCUUGCACAAGCGGUGGAGCACGUGGUUUAAUUCAAUACAACGAGCCUAAGGAGAAAGUCGAGACAACCGAAGUUCACCAAGGAGCCAAGUGACAUGCCAGCGCUGCUAAUUGAGUGCCAGUAUGUAGCUGUGCUGUCAGUUAGAAGGGAACCGGUGCCUUUCGAUUCCUAGUGUGAACCCGUCUAGUCAAAGAGGAGGGAGUGCUUUGAUGCGGAACAUCAAAGCCUAGCCAUAAUAGCGAGUGCUUUGAUGUUCCGCCUAUGCCGAACAUCUUCUCACUUGGAGCUUCGCAAGAGUAAAAAGCCCUGCCAAUAGUUUGACUGUGCUAGAGUGCUUUCAAGGUUACGACGAGAGUUGGCGACGGAGGAAGACUCGGCAUGUAGGAGAGCCACCCGGUGGUGUGGUAUGUAGUGGUAAUAGUACGCCGCCCUACCAAAACGACUCCGAAACAAAGAAAAAAAAAGGUGCGUGCCGCACUCACGAGGAACUGCCAGUGAUAUACUAGAGGAAGGUGGGGAUGACGUCAAGUUUGCAUGGCCCUUAUGGGUUGGACCACACACGUGCUACAAUGGCAAUUACAAUGGGAAGGAAGGCUGUAAGGCAGAGCGAAUUCUGAAAGAUUGCCUAAGUUCGGAUUGUUCUCUGCAACUCAAGAACAUGAAGUUGGAAUCACUAGUAAUCGCGGAUCAGCAUGCCGCAGUGAAUAUGUACUCGGGCCCUAUACACACUGCCCGUCACACCCUGGGAAUUGGUUUCGCCCUUAGCAUCAGACCAAUGAUCACCCAUUCCUUGUGUGUCCCACUAGCGCCACAAAGGUUUUGGUGGUCUUAUUGGCGCAUACCACGAUGGGGUCUUCGAUUGGGAUGAAGUCGUAACAAGGUAGCCAUUGGGGUACCUGUAGCUAGCUGGAUUGAAUC